RNAcentral lists this ribosomal RNA (507 nucleotides) under uncultured bacterium. RNAcentral's name for it is "partial 16S ribosomal RNA". It matches the Rfam family "Bacterial small subunit ribosomal RNA", at positions 28 to 507 of the family's 1533-position model. The record is from RNAcentral.
GACGAACGCUGGCGGCGUGCCUAAUACAUGCCAGUCGAACGCAUUUUCUUUCACCGUAGCUUGCUACACCGAAAGAAAAUGAGUGGCGAACGGGUGAGGAACACGUGGGCAACCUGCCCAUCAGCGGGGGAUAACACUUGGAAACAGGUGCUAAUACCGCAUAAUUCCAUUUACCGCAUGGUAGAGGGAUGAAAGGCGCUUUUGCGUCACUGAUGGAUGGAACCGCGGUGCAUUAGCUAGUUGGUGGGGUAACGGGCUACCAAGGCGGCGAUGCAUAGCCGACCUGCGAGGAUGGUCGACCACACUGGGCCUGAGACACGGCCCAGACUACUACAGGGGGCAGCAGUAGGGAAUCUUCGGCAAUGGACGCAAGCCUGACCGUGCAAAGCCGCAUGAGUGAAGAAGGUUUUCGGAUCGUAAAACUCUGUUGUCAGAGAAGAACAAGGAUGAGACUGGAAAGUUCAUCCCUUGACGGUAUCUACCCAGAAAGCAACGGCUAACUACGUG